CAUUUCAGAGCCAUACAUAACUGGGUCAAGGACUUUAUUUUACUCUAUUUUAAACUUUAUUUUAGGGCUACGCAGUUGCACUGAUCACAACUAUGGAUAUAAACAUGCUGCUCCUGUUUCUAUUGCUGCUGCUCUUUGGUUCUCAGGCUAACCAUUUCUUUGGGACAGUGAUGACUUUUACCCCCAAAGACAAGACACAUAAUGGCUCUCUCAUGGUGGUCUUUCACUACAAGCUGAGCUUUCGCUCAUGCACCGAUCAAGACACGUGGAGCUGUGUCAGCGGUGACUGUGGUACAGAAAGUGUGGAGCUGAGCAUUGUGGAUGAGGAGGACAAAGAGUGGUGUCAGAGGGAAGGAGUCAUGUCUCGGGAAGUUUCCAGCAAUGCUGUGUUUCAGCUACGAUUGGAUGGCGGUGACUGGAUUCAAACCAAAAACAAGGUGAAGAAAUGGAGAGCUCUGACUAAUGUGGACCUGAGGACUCGUCUCGACACUAAUCAGCCAAACAAGUCACCUCAGACCACCAUCCUGCCAGCCCUGCGAGUCCCUUCAAACUGUCAAAGAGUCUUCACCCUGUCGGCCUUUGACCCUGAUGGAGACAAGGUUAAAUGCAGAUUUGGAGACAUAGACGCAGAUGAGUGUAAUCCUUGUACACCACCGUCUGUUCUGACCAUCUCACAAUGGACUCUCCUGCACCAUCAUGCUCAGAGGGAGUCUACCUGCCCAGGUUUCUACCUCCAACCCCAGCCAAUGGGGCUCGCAUGUACACUAAUGACACAGUGAACAUUACCAUUAUGGCAGAGGUGAAAAACACCAUGGUUUUAAAGCUUUUGUUCAGUGGACCGCACAAUGUUGUAAAACACAAUGAAUCACAUGGAGAAUUUAUCCUGACUUGGACGCCAUCUGAGAAUCAAGAUGGAGAAGAUCAUCCCGUCUGCUUCUUAGUCCAGGCAGAGAAAGGGUCAGUGUGGGAUUUGGAUCCAUUAAUAAUAAUAAGUGAAAAGCACAUCAUACAGUAAAUACACGAGGACUGGAAUAUUUUAAAUUUAUGUUUUUGUACUAUUUCAAUUGUUCAUCAGUGCAGCCAAAUAUCAGUCUGAGCUACGAUGUGUGAUUGUGAGCUAUCGCACAGAACCAGUCAUCACAACAUCUAUGCCAACAACCGUUCUGCUUUCAACUACUCCAGCGAGCACGACUACUGUAACCAAAACAGAAACACUGAGCAUAUCAACUAUGGUGGCAGAUGAGCCCAAAGCAUCAGGUGAUGACAGCAGUCGUGCUGGCAAAAUUGCUGGUGCUGUGUGUGGGGCUGUAGGUGUUGCAGCGACCGUUGGCAUUGUGGUCUGGGUGGUGAGAGGAAGUCCACACGCGUUCUAUAAAGUAGUCUAAUGGAAGAAGAAAGAGAUUAAGGAAAAACAAAACUGGCUAUAAAAUCUAGAGAACUUGGGAAAAGGAUAUCACAAACGUUGUUACUGCACAUUUUUUUUCUGAGUAAAUAAUCACAUUUCUACUUAUGUAUAUACUAUAUGAUAUAGAUGCAUAUUGUUUACUGAUGAAGAAUCGCACCAUCGUGUCAAUCUCCAGUGUACUGAUAUUAGUCUUUGGCUCUAUCUGGUGGUGGAAUGAUGGCAUGACAUACAUGUACAGAGUUGUAAAUAAAAGCUACAGAGAGCAGCUUUUAGAUGUGUGUAUUUCAUCCUUUAACAUCUUACAGACUUAAAUGUAAAAUACAAAUGAGGCAGGUUUAAUAUGUACAGAGAAAAUGGUUGGAAGUAAGGCACUGAGGUUUGAAGCCUGAAAAGAAAAAAGAAAAGUUCUUAUAAUGCACCUUUCUGCUACAACUGAGCACUAAAAGCACUUUAGUUCUGUUGCUUUAUUGUUUAUGUUUUGUGAUCUGGAUGGUGAAGGAAAGUCAGGGCUGUUAGGGCUGACAAACACAUCUUUUAACCCUGUGAGGUGGAAAUCAGUGCCGGUGAUAACAAUAAACCUAAUAUGACCAGAAUCUCAUCAUUUAGACAAACACAAAACAGCCAUUAUCUUUCUCUUAAAAUGUAAAUAGUUUUUGAAUGUUUGUCACUUUAGAUUUUUUUUUUUGAGUGCAUACAAACUAUAGGGGUUUGCUCAUCUGCCU
Long non-coding RNA from Astatotilapia calliptera (eastern happy), 2127 nucleotides. NCBI's taxonomy places the organism in Eukaryota, Metazoa, Chordata, Actinopteri, Cichliformes, Cichlidae. The record is from Ensembl.